GGAAAUGUAGCUCAGUGGUGCAGUACCUGCUUGGUAAGCACAAGGCCCUGAGUUCGAUUCCCAGUACCA
RNAcentral lists this transfer RNA (69 nucleotides) under Heterocephalus glaber (naked mole-rat). It matches the Rfam family "tRNA". Rfam says of the family: Transfer RNA (tRNA) molecules are approximately 80 nucleotides in length. Their secondary structure includes four short double-helical elements and three loops (D, anti-codon, and T loops). Further hydrogen bonds mediate the characteristic L-shaped molecular structure. tRNAs have two regions of fundamental functional importance: the anti-codon, which is responsible for specific mRNA codon recognition, and the 3' end, to which the tRNAs corresponding amino acid is attached (by aminoacyl-tRNA synthetases). tRNAs cope with the degeneracy of the genetic code in two manners: having more than one tRNA (with a specific anti-codon) for a particular amino acid; and 'wobble' base-pairing, i.e. permitting non-standard base-pairing at the 3rd anti-codon position. The record is from Rfam by way of RNAcentral. Lineage: Eukaryota; Metazoa; Chordata; Mammalia; Rodentia; Bathyergidae.